This 797-nucleotide ribosomal RNA is filed under the name uncultured bacterium. RNAcentral's name for it is "bacterial SSU rRNA". It matches the Rfam family "Bacterial small subunit ribosomal RNA", at positions 8 to 798 of the family's 1533-position model. The record is from RNAcentral.
AGAGUUUGAUCCUGGCUCAGAUUGAACGCUGGCGGCAUGCUUUACACAUGCAAGUCGAACGGCAGCACGGGUGCUUGCACCUGGUGGCGAGUGGCGGACGGGUGAGUAAUACAUCGGAACGUGUCCUGAAGUGGGGGAUAACGCAUCGAAAGAUGUGCUAAUACCGCAUAUACUCUGAGGAGUAAAGUAGGGGAUCGAAAGACCUUAUGCUUUUGGAGCGGCCGAUGUCUGAUUAGCUAGUUGGUGGGGUAAUUGCCUACCAAGGCGACGAUCAGUAGUUGGUCUGAGAGGACGGCCAGCCACACUGGGACUGAGACACGGCCCAGACUCCUACGGGAGGCAGCAGUGGGGAAUUUUGGACAAUGGGCGCAAGCCUGAUCCAGCAAUGCCGCGUGAGUGAAGAAGGCCUUCGGGUUGUAAAGCUCUUUCAGUUGAGAAGAAAAGAUUGUAACUAAUAAUUACAGUUCAUGACGGUAUCAACAGAAGAAGCACCGGCUAACUACGUGCCAGCAGCCGCGGUAAUACGUAGGGUGCGAGCGUUAAUCGGAAUUACUGGGCGUAAAGGGUGCGCAGGCGGUUCUGUAAGUCAGAUGUGAAAUCCCCGGGCUUAACCUGGGAACUGCGUUUGAAACUACAGAGCUAGAGUGUGGCAGAGGGGGGUGGAAUUCCAUGUGUAGCAGUGAAAUGCGUAGAGAUAUGGAAGAACAUCGAUGGCGAAGGCAGCCCCCUGGGUUAACACUGACGCUCAUGCACGAAAGCGUGGGGAGCAAACAGGAUUAGAUACCCCGGUAGUCCAA